UACGUAGGGUGCAAGCGUUGUCCGGAAUUAUUGGGCGUAAAGAGCUCGUAGGCGGUUUGUCGCGUCUGCUGUGAAAACUGGGGGCUCAACCCCCAGCCUGCAGUGGGUACGGGCAAACUAGAGUGCGGUAGGGGAGAUUGGAAUUCCUGGUGUAGCGGUGGAAUGCGCAGAUAUCAGGAGGAACACCGAUGGCGAAGGCAGCUCGCUGGGACGGUACUGACGCUGAGGCGCGAAAGCGUGGGGAGCAAACAGG
RNAcentral lists this ribosomal RNA (253 nucleotides) under uncultured bacterium. RNAcentral's name for it is "partial 16S ribosomal RNA". It matches the Rfam family "Bacterial small subunit ribosomal RNA", at positions 524 to 776 of the family's 1533-position model. The record is from RNAcentral.